GACGAACGCUGGCGGCGUGCCUAAUACAUGCAAGUCGAACGCUUCUUUCCUCCCGAGUGCUUUCACUCAAUUGGAAAGAGGAGUGGCGGACGGGUGAGUAACACGUGGGUAACCUACCCAUCAGAGGGGGAUAACACUUGGAAACAGGUGCUAAUACCGCAUAACAGUUUAUGCCGCAUGGCAUAAGAGUGAAAGGCGCUUUCGGGUGUCGCUGAUGGAUGGACCCGCGGUGCAUUAGCUAGUUGGUAAGGUAACGGCUCACCAAGGCCACGAUGCAUAGCCGACCUGAGAGGGUGAUCGGCCACACUGGGACUGAGGCACGGCCCAGACUCCUACGGGAGGCAGCAGUAGGGAAUCUUCGGCAAUGGACGAAAGUCUGACCGAGCAACGCCGCGUGAGUGAAGAAGGUUUUCGGAUCGUAAAACUCUGUUGUUAGAGAAGAACAAGGACGUCAGUAACUGAACGUCCCCUGACGGUAUCUAACCAGAAAGCCACGGCUAACUACGUG
This 508-nucleotide ribosomal RNA is filed under the name uncultured bacterium. RNAcentral's name for it is "partial 16S ribosomal RNA". It matches the Rfam family "Bacterial small subunit ribosomal RNA", at positions 28 to 507 of the family's 1533-position model. The record is from RNAcentral.